UCCCUGGUGGCUCAGAGGUUAAAGCGUCUGCCUUUGAUGCAGAAGACCCAGGUUUGAACCCUGGGUCGGGAA
Non-coding RNA from Capra hircus (goat), 72 nucleotides. NCBI's taxonomy places the organism in Eukaryota, Metazoa, Chordata, Mammalia, Artiodactyla, Bovidae. The record is from the annotation of a RefSeq genome assembly.